UGGGGAAUAUUGCACAAUGGGGGAAACCCUGAUGCAGCGACGCCGCGUGAGCGAAGAAGGUUUUCGAAUCGUAAAGCUCUGUCCUAUGAGAAGAUAAUGACGGUAUCAUAGGAGGAAGCCCCGGCUAAAUACGUGCCAGCAGCCGCGGUAAUACGUAUGGGGCGAGCGUUGUCCGGAAUUAUUGGGCGUAAAGCGAGCGCAGGCGGUUAGAAAAGUCUGAAGUGAAAGGCAGUGGCUCAACCAUUGUAGGCUUUGGAAACUGUUUAACUUGAGUGCAGAAGGGGAGAGUGGAAUUCCAUGUGUAGCGGUGAAAUGCGUAGAUAUAAGGAGGAACACCGGUGGCGAAAGCGGCUCUCUGGUCUGUAACUGACGCUGAGGCUCGAAAGCGUGGGGAGCGAACAGG
Molecule: ribosomal RNA, 403 nt
Filed under: Verrucomicrobiota bacterium
Lineage: Bacteria; Pseudomonadati; Verrucomicrobiota
Description: Verrucomicrobia bacterium partial 16S ribosomal RNA
Rfam family: Bacterial small subunit ribosomal RNA
Source: RNAcentral